This 330-nucleotide long non-coding RNA is filed under the name Gossypium barbadense (sea-island cotton). RNAcentral describes it as "long non-coding RNA (GBAR_LNC020797)". Lineage: Eukaryota; Viridiplantae; Streptophyta; Magnoliopsida; Malvales; Malvaceae. The record is from RNAcentral.
CUAAACGGUUUAACGGGCAUAAAAAAGGAAAGGAAAGGUAUGUGUUCAAUAUGAACUAAGACACGUAUUUAUAUGUACAUUGAAAUGGUAUGAUACAUGAACAACAUGUUAUGUUAUGAUGGAUAAUGAAUCCAAUUGAAUCAUGCUCAAGUAUAAUGAUUAUCCAUGUCAAAUUCAUAUGAAUCAUGUUUUAAAUGAACUAACAUGUGUUGUUGAUGUGCUUAGGCUUAUGCCAAGCUUGUGGAUAUGAUUGAUGUUUAUGAUUAUGCUUGUACUCUGCAUAUGAAACGGGUAAGAAAAUGGAAUGAAAUGGUAAGUACGUAAUUGGGA